This is a small nucleolar RNA of Vigna angularis (adzuki bean), 107 nucleotides long. It matches the Rfam family "Plant small nucleolar RNA R71". From Rfam's summary of the family: R71 is a member of the C/D box family of snoRNAs containing the C (UGAUGA) and D (CUGA) box motifs. Multiple nearly identical copies of this snoRNA have been identified in Arabidopsis, and it is thought to function as a 2'-O-ribose methylation guide for 18S ribosomal RNA. The record is from Rfam. NCBI's taxonomy places the organism in Eukaryota, Viridiplantae, Streptophyta, Magnoliopsida, Fabales, Fabaceae.
AAAACAUGAUGUGGACAUUUCCUCAUUAACUCCUUAUACUUUUCCCAAGCCUCAUUUAGAGAUUUAGUUUCUUGCAGCACAAAAGAAGUGAUCUCAUUUCUCAUUCU